RNAcentral lists this ribosomal RNA (201 nucleotides) under uncultured bacterium. RNAcentral's name for it is "partial 16S ribosomal RNA". It matches the Rfam family "Bacterial small subunit ribosomal RNA", at positions 337 to 530 of the family's 1533-position model. The record is from RNAcentral.
UCCUACGGGAGGCAGCAGUAGGGAAUUUUCGGCAAUGGGCGCAAGCCUGACCGAGCAACGCCGCGUGAGUGAAGAAGGCCUUCGGGUUGUAAAGCUCUGUUGUAAGGGAGGAACACUUAAAAGAGGGAAUGCUUUUAAGCUGACGGUACCUUACCAGAAAGCCACGGCUAACUACGUGCCAGCAGCCGCGGUAAUACGUAG